Molecule: ribosomal RNA, 190 nt
Filed under: Durinskia baltica
Lineage: Eukaryota; Dinophyceae; Peridiniales; Kryptoperidiniaceae
Description: partial Bacterial small subunit ribosomal RNA
Rfam family: Bacterial small subunit ribosomal RNA
Source: RNAcentral
CUGAGAGUUUGAUUCUGGCUCAGAACGAACGCUGGCGGCAUGCCUAACACAUGCAAGUCGAACGAUGACGAAACAGCUUGCUGUUUCUGAUUAGUGGCGGACGGGUGAGUAAUGUAUAGGGAUCUGCCUGACAGUGGGGGACAACAGCCGGAAACGGCUGCUAAUACCGCAUACGCUCUACGGAGGAAAG